RNAcentral lists this long non-coding RNA (906 nucleotides) under Mus caroli (Ryukyu mouse). RNAcentral describes it as "predicted gene, 44053 (MGP_CAROLIEiJ_G0006412.1)". Lineage: Eukaryota; Metazoa; Chordata; Mammalia; Rodentia; Muridae. The record is from RNAcentral.
GCUGUCAAUUAUUAAGAGAGUAUCUCACUGGCCUUGAAAUUACUAUGAAAUGGCUUGGACCCUUGAUCCUUCUACCUCUGUCUCCUGAAUGCUGGGAUUACAGGUAAGUGCCUGUGACCAUACCAAACUAGAACAUUGAUAUCUUGAAUGUUCACCAAAGACUUCUUAUCAGCUUAUAGUCCUAAUGAGGGGAUAUAUCCUUAAGGAAGAUAUUGGGGGCCUGCCUCUAUUCUAUUGCUUCUCCCUGCCGUGAGGUGAGCAGGCUUCUUCCUUAGCCACAAGUGCCCACCAUGAUGUAAUAAACCAUAGCCAAAGAAGGGACGAAACAGACUUGGAAAACUGAGCUAAAGAAAUUCUCUGGUUAGUUAGGGCAUUUAUUAUAGUAACAGAAAGCUAACAUCUUUAUUUUUAAGAUUUUUUUUUUAGCAGAUAGGAAUUUGUUUUCUUUAAUCAGAUAUUCUUUGCUUUGUAUGAUUUCUGAUGAAAAGUCGGCUGUUCUUUUAUGUGUGCUUGUGAAUGUAGAAUGUCUCUAACUGCUGCUGUAACACUCUGAAUGUACCCAAUUGUUGUGGAGCCUUAGGGUUUUAAUUGUAAGUAAGGAGAAAUAUUUGGCUGUCUCUUCAAGUUUCAUCCCUGUACUUUUACUCUCCAGCUAUCCCCAGGCUAGACCAUGUGGUUAUUUCCCCACAGGCCACAUCAGUGAUUCUCAAUCUCCUUUUCUUGUACUUGUUUGGUUCCUUCUGAUAAGUUAAAAUUCAUACAUCUUUCUAACUGUAUUGUCUAAUCUGUGUACUCCCCACCAGGGUAUAUUCUAGAAAUUCCACUUGCUGAGUUUAAGUAUUUUUCUCAGUAUGUUCACUUCCUUUUACAUCCUUGAAAAUAUAAUAGCUAUUUUUAAAGUCCUUA